This 61-nucleotide transfer RNA is filed under the name Pseudomonas psychrophila. RNAcentral's name for it is "tRNA-OTHER". It matches the Rfam family "tRNA", at positions 2 to 59 of the family's 71-position model. From Rfam's summary of the family: Transfer RNA (tRNA) molecules are approximately 80 nucleotides in length. Their secondary structure includes four short double-helical elements and three loops (D, anti-codon, and T loops). The record is from RNAcentral. Lineage: Bacteria; Pseudomonadati; Pseudomonadota; Gammaproteobacteria; Pseudomonadales; Pseudomonadaceae.
GGCACGUAGCUCAGUUGGUUAGAGCACCACCUUGACAUGGUGGGGGUCGUUGGUUCGAGUC